UGCUCCGGGUGUCCGAGGAGUGCGAGCGUUGGGGCUGG
This 38-nucleotide transfer RNA is filed under the name Kryptoperidinium triquetrum. RNAcentral describes it as "Heterocapsa triquetra partial Selenocysteine transfer RNA". The record is from RNAcentral. Lineage: Eukaryota; Dinophyceae; Peridiniales; Kryptoperidiniaceae.